AACAGGAUUAGAUACCCUGGUAGUCCACGCCCUAAACGAUGUCUACUAGUUGUUGGGUCUUAAUUGACUUAGUAACGCAGCUAACGCGUGAAGUAGACCGCCUGGGGAGUACGGUCGCAAGAUUAAAACUCAAAGGAAUUGACGGGGACCCGCACAAGCGGUGGAUGAUGUGGAUUAAUUCGAUGCAACGCGAAAAACCUUACCUACCCUUGACAUGUCAGGAAUCCUCGAGAGAUCGGGGAGUGCCCGAAAGGGAACCUGAACACAGGUGCUGCAUGGCUGUCGUCAGCUCGUGUCGUGAGAUGUUGGGUUAAGUCCCGCAACAAGCGCAACCCUUGUCAUUAGUUGCUACGAAAGAGCACUCUAAUGAGACUGCCGGUGACAAACCGGAGGAAGGUGGGGAUGACGUCAAGUCCUCAUGGCCCUUAUGGGUAGGGCUUCACACGUCAUACAAUGGUACAUACAGAGGGCCGCCAACCCGCGAGGGGGAGCUAAUCCCAGAAAGUGUAUCGUAGUCCGGAUUGUAGUCUGCAACUCGACUGCAUGAAGUUGGAAUCGCUAGUAAUCGCGGAUCAGCAUGUCGCGGUGAAUACGUUCCCGGGUCUUGUACACACCGCCCGUCACACCAUGGGAGCGGGUUUUACCAGAAGUAGGUAGCUUAACCGCAAGGAGGGCGCUUACCACGGUAGGAUUCGUGACUGGGGUGAAGUCGUAACAAGGUAACC
This 725-nucleotide ribosomal RNA is filed under the name uncultured bacterium. Its description in RNAcentral is "bacterial SSU rRNA". It matches the Rfam family "Bacterial small subunit ribosomal RNA", at positions 771 to 1501 of the family's 1533-position model. The record is from RNAcentral.